This is a long non-coding RNA of Scylla paramamosain (green mud crab), 912 nucleotides long. RefSeq lists it as uncharacterized. The transcript has 6 exons. The record is from RefSeq and is a predicted model, not a curated record. NCBI's taxonomy places the organism in Eukaryota, Metazoa, Arthropoda, Malacostraca, Decapoda, Portunidae.
UGUUAUUUCCAUCUUAAUACUAUUUUGUAUUGAAAGUAAAUCAGGCAUAGAAUGAUUUGGGUGUUAUUAUUGCCUUGUUAAUGCUGAAUGAUGACUAAAAAUCCAACUCCGAAUUCCACUUCAGCUGGGAAUACAUGUAGAGGAUGUAGUGCUGAAAUUUGUGAACAGAUGUCAUGCUGUAUUCCUACCUUUGUUUUCUCUCUCAUUUUGCGGAUUAAUUUUUCAGGUUAGGCAAUGCUCUGUCAGCUGUGGGUUUUUCAGCCACCAGGAAGCCAGUCAGGUGCUGGAUGGAGGUCAUCCCAGCUCAUUGUAUGAUGGAGGGGUAGCCUGUCUGCCAAGUUCUCAGCAAACCAACAUUUCAGUGGCAGUUUACUUGCUUCAGAGAUCAGAGCAAUACAAUUACAAGUAGAGUGAUCUAUAGUGUAAAGCUGUAUUCACUCAGAGGCAGCACAGCCAAGUUCCUGGUAAACUAACAGUUGAGAGGCGGUAUACUUCACACUGUGUGGGCACAACUGAAUGAAGUAUGCAGUGACUAAGGAGCAUCAUGGAGAAUUAUGCUCCAUUUAAGUGAUGGGGUGAUGACUCCUGCUCCAAGAGGUUCUGGUUACAUGCAGAAUCGAUGGGAAUCACUGCUGGUUUGUGAUCUUAUGUGAUGCCAAAUUAUUUCUGCCUUGGUGGCAGCACCUACCAUCUAACCUGGAAAAAUGCUGCCACGGUCUUCCCUGCUAGGUGUGAUAGGAAAGAAGUGAAGGGCAGUGCUGGGGACCCUUUCCUGUAUUUAUAUUCCUGCAGUGAGACAAGGGAUGGCAUCUUGACUACACCAUUCCCUCUCUUUUUUAGGGGGAUAUACUAUUGUUAUUAAAGUAAAUGGUAAUUUUCUGUUACAGAUGAAAAUACAAAUAGUUGAGAAAA